AGUGAACGCUGGCGGUAGGCCUAACACAUGCAAGUCGAACGGCAGCACAGUAAGAGCUUGCUCUUACGGGUGGCGAGUGGCGGACGGGUGAGGAAUACAUCGGAAUCUACUUUUUCGUGGGGGAUAACGUAGGGAAACUUACGCUAAUACCGCAUACGACCUACGGGUGAAAGCAUGGGAUCUUCGGACCUUGCGCGAUUGAAUGAGCCGAUGUCGGAUUAGCUAGUUGGCGGGGUAAAGGCCCACCAAGGCGACGAUCCUUAGCUGGUCUGAGAGGAUGAUCAGCCACACUGGAACUGAGACACGGUCCAGACUCCUACGGGAGGCAGCAGUGGGGAAUAUUGGACAAUGGGCGCAAGCCUGAUCCAGCCAUACCGCGUGGGUGAAGAAGGCCUUCGGGUUGUAAAGCCCUUUUGUUGGGAAAGAAAAGCAGCAGGUUAAUACCCCGCUGUUCUGACGGUACCCAAAGAAUAAGCACCGGCUAACUUCGUG
Molecule: ribosomal RNA, 492 nt
Filed under: uncultured bacterium
Lineage: Bacteria
Description: partial 16S ribosomal RNA
Rfam family: Bacterial small subunit ribosomal RNA
Source: RNAcentral